CCUACGGGAGGCAGCAGUGGGGAAUUUUGGACAAUGGGCGCAAGCCUGAUCCAGCAAUGCCGCGUGCAGGAUGAAGGCCUUCGGGUUGUAAACUGCUUUUGUACGGAACGAAACGGUCCUUUCUAAUACAAGGGGCUAAUGACGGUACCGUAAGAAUAAGCACCGGCUAACUACGUGCCAGCAGCCGCGGUAAUA
This 195-nucleotide ribosomal RNA is filed under the name uncultured bacterium. RNAcentral describes it as "partial 16S rRNA". It matches the Rfam family "Bacterial small subunit ribosomal RNA", at positions 338 to 525 of the family's 1533-position model. The record is from RNAcentral.